AUUGAACGCUGGCGGCAUGCCUUACACAUGCAAGUCGAACGGCAGCACGGGAGCAAUCCUGGUGGCGAGUGGCGAACGGGUGAGUAAUAUAUCGGAACGUGCCCAGGUCGUGGGGAUAACGUAGCGAAAGCUACGCUAAUACCGCAUACGAUCUAUGGAUGAAAGCGGGGGAUCGCAAGACCUCGCGCGAUUGGAGCGGCCGAUAUCAGAUUAGGUAGUUGGUGAGGUAAAGGCUCACCAAGCCGACGAUCUGU
This 254-nucleotide ribosomal RNA is filed under the name uncultured bacterium. Its description in RNAcentral is "partial 16S ribosomal RNA". It matches the Rfam family "Bacterial small subunit ribosomal RNA", at positions 30 to 284 of the family's 1533-position model. The record is from RNAcentral.